GAUGAACGCUAGCUACAGGCUUAACACAUGCAAGUCGAGGGGAAACGAUAUUGGAAGCUUGCUUCCGAUAGGCGUCGACCGGCGCACGGGUGAGUAACGCGUAUCCAACCUGCCCAUCACUUGGGGAUAACCUUGCGAAAGUAAGACUAAUACCCAAUGACGUCUCUAGAAGACAUCUGAAGGAGAUUAAAGAUUUAUCGGUGAUGGAUGGGGAUGCGUCUGAUUAGCUUGUUGGCGGGGUAACGGCCCACCAAGGCGACGAUCAGUAGGGGUUCUGAGAGGAAGGUCCCCCACAUUGGAACUGAGACACGGUCCAAACUCCUACGGGAGGCAGCAGUGAGGAAUAUUGGUCAAUGGACGAGAGUCUGAACCAGCCAAGUAGCGUGCAGGAUGACGGCCCUAUGGGUUGUAAACUGCUUUUAUAAGGGAAUAAAGUGAGUCUCGUGAGACUUUUUGCAUGUACCUUAUGAAUAAGGACCGGCUAAUUCCGUGCCAGCAGCCGCCGUAA
Molecule: ribosomal RNA, 508 nt
Filed under: uncultured bacterium
Lineage: Bacteria
Description: partial 16S ribosomal RNA
Rfam family: Bacterial small subunit ribosomal RNA
Source: RNAcentral